RNAcentral lists this long non-coding RNA (1884 nucleotides) under Nicotiana tabacum (common tobacco). RNAcentral describes it as "long non-coding RNA (NTAB_LNC001464)". The record is from RNAcentral. Lineage: Eukaryota; Viridiplantae; Streptophyta; Magnoliopsida; Solanales; Solanaceae.
AGGUAACCAUAGUCCCUCCUAUUUCAAUUGAUAUGGCUUAAUUUGAUCUAACACGGAGUUUAGAGGUAGAUUGUCACGACCUGGCGAGGGUCAUGACCGGCGCUAAGUGGGUCUAAGACCACUAACUCUUUCUGUUUCAUGUCAAAAAUCCGGCAAGAGUCUCCUCUGUACCGGUAGCAAUCCAAAACUUUAAACGUGUCAGCAAACCCAAACUCGACACACCAUAACUACAAUAACAGUAAAGUACAAAGUCUAAAAUAAAUAUCAACAACACAAAGCCACAUGAUUCAACAUCAACUUUACACGUCUCAAGCUACUCUAUUACUACGCAAGCCAAAAUAUAAGUCCAAGACCGACUUAAGGAGCAGAACUCUAGGAUUUAAACCAACAACAUGCCAAAAGGUCUAAGCAAAAUGACAACCCACGCGAAGCAAGUGCGAGGCUUACGGGAUCCAUGGUCAGCUCUGUCAAUCACUAUACCUGAGUCGAAAUGUCAGCUUCAGCUAUAUUAUCUGUGGUAUGGAAAAAAAAAAAAGAAACACGGCACCGAUUGAGAGUAAUAAUGUCAACCAUAGUAAUUAUUUGGAACAAGCAUAUAUCAGAAAUCAUGUAUCUCAUAAGAUCUUCAACAAUAGUUUAUUAACCCAACACAAUAAUUCAUGUAUGAAAUGAUAAAUCAAGGGAGUGAAAACAUGCUCAUAAUUAUAUUUUUCUAUAAUCUCUUUAAAAUGAGAGAUACUUAAGCUAGAGUCACCAUGGGUCUACCAUGGCCGUCUGACAACCCCGUCAGCUAGGUUCCCUUCUAGAGCGCAUAAGUGUGAUAUACACCGGUCUAUCAUACCAGGUGCACCAGGUCUUUAGAUAACGGCGAUCUGGCCAAGUUGAUUCUCAAAGCCAUUUCCUUUAUAGCACAGUAUAUUUUUACACUUCUUCUAUCAAGAAUUAAAUCCAAAAUAAGGAGAAGAAAUCAUAAAUAAACUAACUCCAAAGCAUAUUAAUUGUAAAAGACAUCAUGUAUUAAAGCGUCAUUUAGCAUAUAUCAACAUACCGAAUUAUACUAUUGCUUGUCCAUAUGCAAGUAAAUAAGCUUUUGUCAAAUAUUUUUGAUGCAAGAAACUAGUUUCAAAUAUGCUAUAGUUGAAAAUCAACUAUGGAAGAGUCAUCACUCGCAAUACUAUUGCCGAACAACUUCAAGUUGCUUCCGAUAAUCGUGUCGUCAAAUAUCAUUAUCUAAAAUACAAUACAAGGUUUGAUUAAUUAUUCUUAAACUCAUGAAAUUACAUAUUUCUAGUGAUAAAAACUUAUAAUUUCUGAUUCCCACUUCAACUAUUGCACCAAGUCACUUCUCUGUACAAAUAGUUUGAGUGGCAACUCUAGCAUUCCUACCUAAAUUUUUGUUCUAAAAAUAAUUUCAACAUUCUUUAAUAGCAGGUUAUAAAAAUUGUGCUUCAUACUCGGAAAAGUUUAUAUUCGGCUGGUGUGUACAUCAAUUUAUUUAUUCCUAGCCAUCUUCAAAAGGACUUGCGGUCUUUAUUCUAUUCUGGAAAAGAAUAUCUUUUCUCUUCUUUGCUUCCUGAUAAUUUGCUACCCGAUUACUUUGCCCCAAAGUUGAAGUUUCCCCAUUUUCAUAAUUGACUUUGUAAGUUUCAGCUAUUACGUAUUACUCCUAGAAAAAGAAGAGAUCGAUUGAUGGGUAAAUAUUUUUUUCAUACACACCUGAAUGAAGGAGCAAUAACAGAGUAAGGAAUUUAGGUGUUUGCCGGGAGCGUUAGCCUUAGAUUUUGCUUCUAGGUUUCUGGUUCUUGCUAUUCUUUCCUUAAUAUUCUCUCUCUUCUUUUUCUUUUUCUUUUUCUUGGAGAGUUGCUGCCAACUUCACGAUGAAAC